This is a long non-coding RNA of Gallus gallus (chicken), 2131 nucleotides long. RefSeq lists it as uncharacterized. The record is from RefSeq and is a predicted model, not a curated record. Lineage: Eukaryota; Metazoa; Chordata; Aves; Galliformes; Phasianidae. The transcript is spliced from 3 exons.
UAGCUCUUUGGAUUGCUAUUUCUUUAGCAUAACACCAUUUUUAUGGACAUAAAUGCUACUUUUUAUAGUCAGAGCAGAAGAGCAUUGCUUAAGUAAGAUAAAUAAACAAUUAUUGUGAUUAAUUUCACUUUUGACAAUUGACAAGUUACUGUAACAGAAUAAUAUUAUAAAUGCAUAGCUUUGUUUUCCUGACUUGCUUGAUAUUUAUAUGAGAGCUGCUGUACUUUUAGUACACAACAGCAUAGGCACAAAUGCAAACAAAUAUUUUUGUUCAUUUAUUCCAAGAUGGUCUGUGAAAAAUGAUAGAUUCCUAAAAGCUGAUUACAGUGAACUCCCAAAGCAACUGGUUGGUUGAGUUACUAACUGAAAAAUCAACACAACCUGUCUAUAAAUGAUUCUGAAAAGCACAAAUAGAAAUGCAAGUAUAAACAAAUACUAAUUCUUUUAUUUAAAUACCUUUUAAAACGAGUUUAAUCUUCACAGGGCCUCCCCAGACACUGGCACAACAGAGUGUGUUGCCAUGGGAAGAAGUGCUAUAAUGAGGGACAUUUGAGCACCGAUAGCUGCGAAUGCAUAUGUUAUGCUGGAUCUCUUGGCAGUUUCUGUGCUAACGGCUACAUCACUGAGGUGCCAGAGAGAAGCAUUCAUUUAUUCACAGCAACACAGCAAAUAUUCCAGAGCUUUUUCUAUCAUGGGAGCAUGCCUCAUGACUGGUAGAUGUGGAAUCAACACGUCCUGCAUCUUCUUAACUCUGACUUUUCUUUAAUGCCAGAUUUCAAAAGAGAACAGAGGUGAUGAAAACAUACGGGAUUUCAGGCUUAUCUGCACAACUCUGUACUUGCUGCCCUUCCUUUGAAACUGAGUUAUGGUGGAGAAGAGAUAAAAACAACGAACUUGUGGAACAGGUAAUACUGGGGUCAUAGUUUAAAUAAAUCUCAACCAAAUUAAUGUAAUUCAAGGUUUAUUUAUAAAAGGAGCAUAAAUGUUUAUGGACUCCAUAAAUCAGAUGCAGAUGGAAGUGACAUGGAAUAUGUAAUAGAAGUGCAUGUAGUCAGUCUGGGACAGAUUACUCACAUGAACAGGAUAAGAUCUCAAGUUCCUUUGACGUUUUUAGUACUAAUAUCAAUGAAAUCCAUAAUCUCUUAGUCAACAUUGUUUUAUCAUUUUAGAAUGGUCUUCAUCUUUACUGCAUAUUUAAAAAUAUCCCUUGAUUAUACCUCCUAAAAUGUUAUCAGAACUUCGUUUUGGUGGUGUUAACAACAUGAUUGUUUUGUGAUCCAAUUCUGUUAAAAGCAUUACAAUGAAUGAAUGUGCCUAUAGCUUCAGCACACAUAAUGUGUGACUUCUAGUAAUGAAAGAAAUGCAGCCUCCUCCAUAUCAUGUGUUCUGACACUGAGUAUGAAGGCUUCCAGCUUGCUAUGGGUUAGCUUUGUGCAACUAUUUAAGAGUAAUUUUAAAAUGUGAUCUAUAAAUCAUCCUGAGUAAGUUCUGGUGAUCGCGUUUUCAAUGUGUUUGUGUGGGUGUUGUGGUGUGAGCUCUGUGAUGACAGUAGAUACAGGAGCACUGAAAUGACAUAUUCCCUAUGUACUUGUCUCAUCUGUACAUACAUUUCUGUGAAAACAAACGUAUGCGACUCAAAAUUAGGACUCAGAAUUUGAAGUUAGUCUUACACGAAUGGCAAGGAUAACUCUUAAACUGAGUGCAUUUUAUCUUACCAAGUUUCUGGCAUGGAUAAAAAAGAACGUGCGUGUCACUGUGCUCUCAGUCCUACGUAGCCUGCUGUUUCAGUGAUAUGUGAGGAUACUAUUGAAGGGAAACGAGAGAUACACUUUACUCAUAAUUAUCAUAAAAAGGGUUAAUGUAGAAUGUAGAGGUGACUAGAUACGUUAUUUUAUUGCAAUAAUAGACUUACCGAGGAAGAACUCUUUUAUGACACAUUCCAUUAUUGCUGUUUCAAACCCAUAAUUUGAAGAUUACUGCUCAGAAACCCAGACAGAAGUGAUUUUACAGUCAUCAGCCCAUUAAAGGUUUAAGCAUUGUCUGGCUAGAUUAGAAAGAAUUUAGUUGUGGAAAAUGUUGUGUGAUUUAUUAUGCUCCUUAAAAAGCGCACAGCCACGUGCUGGUAGGGCCG